UUUAACAGCACAUAUAUUAUACUGUAACUGGAACACUACAGAGAAGAUUAGCAUGGCCCCUGUGCAAGGAUGACAUGGAAAUUCAUGAAGCAUUCCAUAUUUUU
Molecule: small nuclear RNA, 104 nt
Filed under: Dasypus novemcinctus (nine-banded armadillo)
Lineage: Eukaryota; Metazoa; Chordata; Mammalia; Cingulata; Dasypodidae
Source: RNAcentral